RNAcentral lists this ribosomal RNA (488 nucleotides) under Bacillus sp. RKVR38. RNAcentral's name for it is "bacterial SSU rRNA". It matches the Rfam family "Bacterial small subunit ribosomal RNA", at positions 1 to 486 of the family's 1533-position model. Lineage: Bacteria; Bacillati; Bacillota; Bacilli; Caryophanales; Bacillaceae. The record is from RNAcentral.
UAGAGUUUGAUCCUGGCUCAGGAUGAACGCUGGCGGCGUGCCUAAUACAUGCAAGUCGAGCGAAUGGAUUAAGAGCUUGCUCUUAUGAAGUUAGCGGCGGACGGGUGAGUAACACGUGGGUAACCUGCCCAUAAGACUGGGAUAACUCCGGGAAACCGGGGCUAAUACCGGAUAACAUUUUGAACUGCAUGGUUCGAAAUUGAAAGGCGGCUUCGGCUGUCACUUAUGGAUGGACCCGCGUCGCAUUAGCUAGUUGGUGAGGUAACGGCUCACCAAGGCAACGAUGCGUAGCCGACCUGAGAGGGUGAUCGGCCACACUGGGACUGAGACACGGCCCAGACUCCUACGGGAGGCAGCAGUAGGGAAUCUUCCGCAAUGGACGAAAGUCUGACGGAGCAACGCCGCGUGAGUGAUGAAGGCUUUCGGGUCGUAAAACUCUGUUGUUAGGGAAGAACAAGUGCUAGUUGAAUAAGCUGGCACCUGACGUA